AUGCUUUCUUUGGGAAAAAUUCCAACAUGGGUUCAUAUCAGAAAAUUUUUGAGGAUGAACUCAAGGGGAUCUCAAGGCAAAAACUUUCUUGAAAAGCCCUGUGGACCUGCAUUUGGCUUCUUCAUUGGACCUCUCCAUUCAAAUUGUCACAGGUCCAAAAGGAGGCUGAGUUGCCCAUUUACACGUAGUUGGUCAAGGUCUCUCUCCUGUGCUGACGAAUCUCUGGGAAAUAUGACUUCAAAGCCACCUUCUUCACUGAUGGCCACCAAGUACUCCUCCAGUUUGGACCGUUUUCCCAGAGGGACCUGUCAAGGAUUCUUGGACAGCCCUUGUGUCUGCAGGGGCUAGAAGUUUCUCUUAGAUUAAAUCAAAGACAGGAACCAGUGGCCUGGAAGGGUUUUUCAUAUGCCCCGGCUCUCAGCCAUGGCUGGGAUUCUCAGAAACACAGCGGAAGUUUGUGAGACAAAGCUGAGACUGGCAUCCCUUUCUUUAGAGACUGGUGGUGGAGAGGAGGGAGGGAGAAGUCUCGGCCAACAUACCAAACAGAGUGGUGAAAUCUUGAGAAUCUAUAAGGUCUGCCAGCCUGGCUUCCCACAAUGACAUGCCUGACCAGCCCCCCUCCCCAAUCCCCCUUCACCUGGCUGGGAGCUCAGACUAACGAACCAUAAAGGGAAGUUCCUGAGUUGAAGGCCCCAUUGCUUCGGGCUAAUCCAGUCCAGGUAGCCAGCAGCUGUCUACAGGGAGUUGAAUAAGGCUGGGCAUGUACUGCAUGCACAUACGCAGUGUCUCCUAUGAAGUUUCCCCUCAUUCAGGGUCACUCUGUUAAUCCCCUCUCUCCCCUCUCCUCCCACACUCCAUUUCCUGACUAAUACCAGAAUUAUACUGCCAGAGCCCCUAGCUCAGACCUGAUAACCACAGGCCCCUCAGAUCUGAGCCUGACUUUGUAGAGCCUUCCUAAUCCCUGGACCUCACUUGCCUUCUAUCAAGGGGCACAGGAAUUAGAGCUAGAUGAGACCUUCGGCCACCCCCCACAUUUAAAGAUACAGAAACCCAGAUUUGGACAGGCAAAGUAACUUAUUUUUCACAGGUCAGAGCA
RNAcentral lists this long non-coding RNA (1096 nucleotides) under Monodelphis domestica (gray short-tailed opossum). RNAcentral describes it as "lncRNA (ENSMODG00000041680.1)". The record is from RNAcentral. Lineage: Eukaryota; Metazoa; Chordata; Mammalia; Didelphimorphia; Didelphidae.